This 497-nucleotide ribosomal RNA is filed under the name uncultured bacterium. RNAcentral's name for it is "partial 16S ribosomal RNA". It matches the Rfam family "Bacterial small subunit ribosomal RNA", at positions 29 to 507 of the family's 1533-position model. The record is from RNAcentral.
AAUGAACGCUGGCGGCAUGCCUAAUACAUGCAAGUCGAACGACAAGACAGGAAGCUUGCUCCUCUAAGGUUAGCGGCUGACGGGCGAGUGACACGUGGAUCGCCUACUUAUUAUUCUGGGAUGACUUCGGGAGGCCGGUUCCGCUAACAGCUCAUAUAUUCAACCGCAUGGAUCAGUGGUGCUACGCACCUUUCCUGUUACAAUUAGACGAUUCCGGGCCGGAUUAGCUAGUUGGUAAGGUAACGGCUCACCAAGGCAACGAUGCGUAGCCGACCUGAGAGGAUGAUCGGCCACACUGGAACUGAGACACGGUCCAGACUCCUACGGGAGGCAGCAGUGGGGAAUCUUCGACAAUGGGCGAAAGCCUGACGGAGCAAUGCCGCGUGAGUGAUGAAGGUCUUCGGAUUGUAAAACCCUGUUAUUAGGGAAGAACAAAAGUGGAUGAAACUAUGCACGUCUUGACGGUACCCAAACAGAAAGCCACGGCUAACUACGUG